Molecule: non-coding RNA, 351 nt
Organism: Cricetulus griseus (Chinese hamster)
Lineage: Eukaryota; Metazoa; Chordata; Mammalia; Rodentia; Cricetidae
Source: the annotation of a RefSeq genome assembly
AUGGGAUGGAGCUGGAUCAUCCUCUUCCUGGUGACAGCAGCUAUAAGUGUCCACUCCCAGCUCCAGCUGCAGCAGUCUGGGGCUGAGCUGGUGAAGCCUCGAGCCUCAGUGAAGCUGUCCUGCAAGGCUUCAGGCUACACCUUCACGGACUAUGCUAUGCACUGGGUGAAACAGAAGCCUGGACAGGGUCUGGAGUGGAUUGGAUGGAUUUCUCCUGGAAGUGGUAAUACAAAGUACAACCAGAAGUUCCAGGGCAAGGCCACACUGACUGCAGACACAUCCUCCAGCACAGCCUACAUGGAGCUCAGGACUCUGACAUCUGAGGACUGUGGGGUCUUUUACUGUGCAUGA